Molecule: ribosomal RNA, 520 nt
Filed under: uncultured Glomus
Lineage: Eukaryota; Fungi; Glomeromycota; Glomeromycetes; Glomerales; Glomeraceae
Description: bacterial SSU rRNA
Rfam family: Eukaryotic small subunit ribosomal RNA
Source: RNAcentral
AGCAGCCGCGGUAAUUCCAGCUCCAAUAGCGUAUAUUAAAGUUGUUGCAGUUAAAAAGCUCGUAGUUGAAUUUCGGGAUCAAUUAAUCGGUCGUGCCUCUGGUACGCACUGGUUUUAUUGGUUUCUCCCUUCUGACGAACCAGGAUGUCUUUAAUUUGGUGUCUUGGAGAAUCAGGACUGUUACUUUGAAAAAUUAGAGUGUUUAAAGCAGGCUUCUAGGCAUGAAUACAUUAGCAUGGAAUAAUGAAAUAGGACGUUUGAUCCUAUUUUGUUGGUUUCUAGGAUCGACGUAAUGAUUAAUAGGGAUAGUUGGGGGCAUUAGUAUUCAAUUGCCAGAGGCGAAAUUCUUGGAUUUAUUGAAGACUAACUAUUGCGAAAGCAUUUGCCAAGGAUGUUUUCAUUAAUCAAGAACGAAAGUUAGGGGAUCGAAGACGAUCAGAUACCGUCGUAGUCUUAACCAUAAACUAUAGCCGACUAGGGAUCGGAUGAUGUUAAAUUUUUUUAAUAGUACUCAUUCGGU